GGCGAACUGAGGGCCAGCGGCCGGGGUAAGCGGGAGGGGGCAAGGGUUGUUCGGGUGUGUUGGGCGUAAAGAGCGUGUAGGCGGCCAAACAGGGCAGCUGUGAAAACUCGAGGCUCAACCUCGAGACGUCGGUUGGAACCGUUGGGCUAGAGUCCGGAAGAGGAGAGUGGAAUUCCCGGUGUAGCGGUGAAAUGCGCAGAUAUCGGGAAGAACACCCGUGGCGAAGGCGGCACUCUGGGACGGUACUGACGCUGAGACGCGAAAGCGUGGGGAGCGAACAGGAUUAGAUACCCGUGUAGC
RNAcentral lists this ribosomal RNA (300 nucleotides) under uncultured Lactobacillus sp. RNAcentral describes it as "bacterial SSU rRNA". It matches the Rfam family "Bacterial small subunit ribosomal RNA", at positions 495 to 794 of the family's 1533-position model. Lineage: Bacteria; Bacillati; Bacillota; Bacilli; Lactobacillales; Lactobacillaceae. The record is from RNAcentral.